GCAGUGGCAUUGGUUUCUGAGCUUAUUGAUUAAAGACUUACAAAUAGCCACUGCCAGCAGUCAUUACACAUUUAUUUCGGACCAACAAAAGGGGCUUGAUAGUGCACUUUUGGAACUUCUUCCAUAUUGUGAACACAGAUUCUGUGUUCAACACAUGUACAGGAAUUUCAAGAAAAAACAUCCUGGGCAGAUUUUAAAAGAUAGACUAUGGAGCAUUGCAACAGCUACAACUGUUGAGUUGUAUGAGGCAGAACUUGAUGACUUGAAAGAGUAUGACCAGCUUGCAUAUGCAUGGGUCAAAAGGGCACCACCACCACAGCAUUGGUGUCCGGCGAACUCGACCAGAUGCUCCCAGAACAA
Molecule: non-coding RNA, 360 nt
Organism: Coffea arabica (coffee)
Lineage: Eukaryota; Viridiplantae; Streptophyta; Magnoliopsida; Gentianales; Rubiaceae
Source: RefSeq, a predicted model, not a curated record